AGUUACGUAGCUCAGUAAGGUUAGAGCGCAUCACUCAUAAUGAUGAGGUCCCCUGUUCAAUUCAGGGCGUGACUA
Molecule: transfer RNA, 75 nt
Filed under: Candidatus Portiera aleyrodidarum (primary endosymbiont of Bemisia tabaci)
Lineage: Bacteria; Pseudomonadati; Pseudomonadota; Gammaproteobacteria; Johnevansiales (SeqCode); Johnevansiaceae (SeqCode)
Description: tRNA-Met
Rfam family: tRNA
About the family: Transfer RNA (tRNA) molecules are approximately 80 nucleotides in length. Their secondary structure includes four short double-helical elements and three loops (D, anti-codon, and T loops).
Source: RNAcentral